GCAGCUCACAGGAGCCGCUGGAAAACAGCCCUAAAAACUAACUGCACACGCUACCUCUACUGGAUCCUCCAGCGUCAGAUCAGGCUGUCAGAGCAGGUUUGUUGGCAGCCAUGCACUUUCUGAGAGCGCUGCGUCUGUCCAACUCUGUCCAACUGAUCGUCAAACAAACAGAUGCAGCGAAGAAGGUUUUCAUCACACAGCCAGCAUGUUGUCUGAGCACCAAAUCAACCACGACGUCCCACAGUCCACCGCCUACACACUCGGGUACUCUUCAUCUCAAAAUGAACGUCCAUUCAAAGCCCCCCAGCUCUGGAGUGGAGGACAUGCUGUUCUACACCAUCACAGAGGGGAAAGAGCAGGUCCCCGUUUCAUACUUCACCUCAGCCCUGAAGAGAACCGGCCUCCACCCAUCAGACCCUCGUCUGAAGGACUGUAUGGAGAAACUCAGACAGGCAGUGAGGAAAUCUGUUGGUGAGGUGAUGAUGGACAGAGAUCUCUUCCACAGGUGUGUCGGAGGAAACAUGGUCCUGCUGAUCCAGGCCUUCAGAAAGAAAUUUAUCAUCCCUGAGUUUGACAUGUUUGCACAAAAAAUAAAUGAAAUCUACAACACAGUGCAAAAUCAAAGUGAUGGGAAGGUUGCAGACUACAUCCCCCAACUCGCAAAGUUUAGUCCAGAUCUGUGGGGUGUGUCUUUGUGUACAGUGGAUGGCCAGAGGCACUCAGUUGGUGACACCAAGCAGCCCUUCUGCCUGCAGUCCUGCGUGAAGCCUCUGCAGUACGCCAUCGCUGUCCACGAGGCGGGAACAGAGAAGGUUCAUCGUUAUGUAGGCAUGGAGCCCAGUGGACUCAAGUUCAAUAUGCUCUCCCUUGAUGAUGAAGAUAAACCCCAUAACCCCAUGGUGAACGCUGGAGCCAUAGUGAUCAGCUCUCUUAUAAAGCCUCGUUCAAAUAAGGCAGAGAAGUUUGAUUAUGUUAUGGAGUUUGUGAAAAAGAUGGCAGGACAAGAGUAUGUGGGAUUCAGCAACGCCAUGUUCCAGUCAGAAAAAGAAACAGGCGACAGAAAUUUUGCCAUCGGAUACUACAUGAAGGAGAAGAAGUGUUUUCCUCCUGGAGCGGAUAUGAUCGAUGCCCUGGACUUCUACUUCCAGCUUUGCUCCAUCGAGGUGACCUGCGAAUCAGGAAGCAUUAUGGCUGCCACUCUGGCCAACGGAGGGAUCUGUCCAAUCACAGGCGAGCGUGUCCUGAGUGCUGAGGCAGUGCGAAACACUUUGAGUCUCAUGCACUCAUGUGGCAUGUAUGACUUCUCUGGACAGAUGGCUUUUCAUGUGGGCUUGCCGGCCAAAUCCGGCGUGUCCGGUGCAAUAGUGCUGGUGAUCCCAAACGUCAUGGGAGUGAUGUGUUGGUCUCCUCCUCUUGACAGAGUUGGAAACAGCGUGCGGGGAAUACACUUCUGUCAGGAGCUUGUCUCGCUCUUCAAUUUCCACAAUUAUGACAAUUUAAGGCACUUUGUAAAGAAGCAGGACCCUCGCAGGCCGGAGGGAGAUGACAGGAACAAGUCUGUUUUUAGUUUGAUGUUCGCUGCCUACAGUGGAGAUGUGUCUGCACUGAGAAGGUUUGCUCUCUCAUCGAUGGACAUGGACUUGAAAGACUACGACUCUCGAACAGCGCUGCAUAUCUCUGCAGCAGAGGGUCACAUAGAUGUGGUGAAAUUCCUCACUGAAACCUGCAAAGUUGAUCCAUUUGUAGAGGACAGGUGGGGGAACCUGCCCAUCGAUGAUGCCAUGCAGUUCGGACAUGACGAGGUAGUGAAGGUGCUAAAAGACUAUCAGCAGGUCUGGAGGCAGCAGGAAUCACAGCACACUGGGGCUGCGCAUUCCCCGAAGCUGGACCCAAUCGAGGGCAUGGUGUGAUGCACACAAGCCUCCACACUAACAUAAGUGAAGACCCUCAAUUACUCGCCAAUUAUCUUCCCAAGCAGCAGGUAAACCUAACAGCCUUCUGUCUCCGACCAUGAGUUUUGCCUGUGCACUUCCUCGUUCUCGUCUGCCUGUGGCUGUGCGGUGUUCUACUGCUUCAGCUCUGUUGAGAGAGAUCGCCAUUCUUCCGGCCAUCUUCAGAGCCUCCCCCCAAGCGAAACAUCUCCUCUGCGUGAGUGCCACUGGUGUCUAUUGUUCUGAUGGUACACCGAUUGCCCGCCUGUCCUCGUUUAUCCCGCUGCCUGCUCCUACUGGACUCGUCUGCUCCGCUGCCUGCCAGUCUGUCUCAAACUCUGCUUCCUCCUUGACCACGAGCCCUGCCUGCCCCUCUCUGGAGUCUCUGCUUUUCCCACAAGCUCCCUGCUGUAAGUGUUUCUGCAACUUAUCUGAUACAUUUAACAGCCAGUCCGCUCCAUGUUCACAAUUUCCCCACUCAAACUCUGAACUAUCACCUGUGAACGUGAACUCACCCCAGUCUUUCUACAAACUCUGCUUGACCCCAGAACUGAUAACUGUCCCUAUUUACCUGCAACAGGCGGAAAAUAGCAGCUCUGCUAGAACCUGGUACAAUCCAUCUCUCCUUGUGUUAUAGAAAGUUAAUGUUUUAUCGUGCACUGUCACUGUCUAAAUAAAA
Molecule: non-coding RNA, 2610 nt
Organism: Plectropomus leopardus (leopard coralgrouper)
Lineage: Eukaryota; Metazoa; Chordata; Actinopteri; Perciformes; Serranidae
Source: RefSeq, a predicted model, not a curated record